This 785-nucleotide unclassified non-coding RNA is filed under the name Hevea brasiliensis (rubber tree). The record is from RNAcentral. Lineage: Eukaryota; Viridiplantae; Streptophyta; Magnoliopsida; Malpighiales; Euphorbiaceae.
CACACUUUCUUAUUUUAUUGAUAACUGGGAAGAAACAUACACUCAAGGCAGAGAGUAACAGUCCCAGUCCCAGCCCCAUCUCACACACUCCACACAAACAAAGCCCAAAAAGCAAACGGCAAAAUAAGCUACAAACUAAAUGUGCAGAUGCCCUGCAAAGACCAGGACACCGUCAAGGCCUCAGCCCAUGAAACCCAAGCUCUAUAUGGCGAGCACCAGCCCCGGCAUAGACUUACCAGCACGAUCCGGUAACUUGCUCUGCCAAACGGGCAGGCAGUGCAGCGCCGCCGCCGCCGCCCGCUUCGACGAAGAGGCGGAGCAGUCUGAACCAGCGUCGACGCGUGUGACCGUGACUGUAGUAUUGAAGUACUCUCGCACCUGAGUAAUCACCCCGUCCGUCACGGUCCAGGCGUGAACCCAAAACAGGGAACCUGCUCUACCCUCCACGAGCACGGUGUCCGGACCGAACGCCUCGACCGAGAGGGGCAGGAAAGCGAAAUCGGAGUCGGAUUUGAUCGGCUCCUCUGCUCCGGUGAGCAGGCGCAUCAUGUACUGGUGCGCUGGGGGGCCAUGGAACCACCACUCGAUGUCAGGGGCGAGGAGCUGCUGUACCGUGUCUACGUCUCGGGCGUUCAGGGCCUCAUACAGUCGGAGAACCACCCACCUGUUGCGCUCCGCCGCCGUCUCCGCCGCCGGUUGUUGGAUCUCGCUGAUGCAUUCGCUAGAGUUAGCCAGCUCCGAGCGUGCCCCUCAAAGGCUUUUGAAUCAGAGGAGGAGAGAUCAGA